RNAcentral lists this ribosomal RNA (253 nucleotides) under uncultured Bacteroides sp. Its description in RNAcentral is "partial 16S ribosomal RNA". It matches the Rfam family "Bacterial small subunit ribosomal RNA", at positions 524 to 776 of the family's 1533-position model. The record is from RNAcentral. Lineage: Bacteria; Pseudomonadati; Bacteroidota; Bacteroidia; Bacteroidales; Bacteroidaceae.
UACGGAGGAUCCGAGCGUUAUCCGGAUUUAUUGGGUUUAAAGGGAGCGUAGGUGGAUUGUUAAGUCAGUUGUGAAAGUUUGCGGCUCAACCGUAAAAUUGCAGUUGAAACUGGCAGUCUUGAGUACAGUAGAGGUGGGCGGAAUUCGUGGUGUAGCGGUGAAAUGCUUAGAUAUCACGAAGAACUCCGAUUGCGAAGGCAGCUUACCAGACUGAGUCUGACGCUGAUGCACGAGAGCAUGGGUAUCGAACAGG